UACGGGGGGGGCAAGCGUUGUUCGGAAUUACUGGGCGUAAAGGGCUCGUAGGCGGCCAACUAAGUCGGAUGUGAAAUCCCCAGGCUUAACCUGGGAACUGCAUCCGAUACUGGAUGGCUUGAAUCCGGGAGAGGGAUGCGGAAUUCCAGGUGUAGCGGUGAAAUGCAUAGAUACCGUCCAGAACCCCGAUUGCGAAGGCAGCUGGCUGUACCAUUAUUGACGCUGAGGCACGAAAGCGUGGGGAGCGAACAGG
Molecule: ribosomal RNA, 253 nt
Filed under: uncultured bacterium
Lineage: Bacteria
Description: partial 16S ribosomal RNA
Rfam family: Bacterial small subunit ribosomal RNA
Source: RNAcentral